RNAcentral lists this ribosomal RNA (301 nucleotides) under uncultured bacterium. Its description in RNAcentral is "partial 16S ribosomal RNA". It matches the Rfam family "Bacterial small subunit ribosomal RNA", at positions 509 to 807 of the family's 1533-position model. The record is from RNAcentral.
CAGCCGCCACGGUAAAACGAAGGGGGCUAGCGUUGUUCGGAAUUACUGGGCGUAAAGGGUGUGUAGGAGGCCAGGUAAGUCAGGUGUGAAAUCUCAGAGCUUAACUCUGAAACUGCGCUUGAUACUGCUUGGCUAGAGGAUCGGAGGGGGUAACGGAAUUUAUGGUGUAGCAGUGAAAUGCGUAGAUAUCAUAAGGAACACCGGUGGCGAAGGCGGUUACCUGGAAGAUUCCUGACUCUGAAACACGAAAGCCAGGGGAGCAAACGGGAUUAGAUACCCCCCGUAGUCCCUGUCUCUUAUA